Molecule: ribosomal RNA, 380 nt
Filed under: uncultured eukaryote
Lineage: Eukaryota
Description: partial 18S ribosomal RNA
Rfam family: Eukaryotic small subunit ribosomal RNA
Source: RNAcentral
CAAUAGCGUAUAUUUAAGUUGUUGCAGUUAAAAAGCUCGUAGUUGGAUUUCUGCCGAGGACGUCCGGUCCGCCCUCUGGGUGAGUACAUGGCACGGCCUGGGCAUCUUCUUGGGGAACGUAUCUGCACUUGACUGUGUGGUGCGGUAUCCAGGACUUUUACUUUGAGGAAAUUAGAGUGUUUCAAGCAGGCACACGCCUUGAAUACAUUAGCAUGGAAUAAUAAGAUAGGACCUCGGUUCUAUUUUGUUGGUUUCUAGAGCUGAGGUAAUGAUUAAUAGGGAUAGUUGGGGGCAUUCGUAUUUAACUGUCAGAGGUGAAAUUCUUGGACUUGUUAAAGACGGACUACUGCGAAAGCAUUUGCCAAGGAUGUUUUCAUUGA